Molecule: transfer RNA, 88 nt
Rfam family: tRNA
About the family: Transfer RNA (tRNA) molecules are approximately 80 nucleotides in length. Their secondary structure includes four short double-helical elements and three loops (D, anti-codon, and T loops). Further hydrogen bonds mediate the characteristic L-shaped molecular structure. tRNAs have two regions of fundamental functional importance: the anti-codon, which is responsible for specific mRNA codon recognition, and the 3' end, to which the tRNAs corresponding amino acid is attached (by aminoacyl-tRNA synthetases). tRNAs cope with the degeneracy of the genetic code in two manners: having more than one tRNA (with a specific anti-codon) for a particular amino acid; and 'wobble' base-pairing, i.e. permitting non-standard base-pairing at the 3rd anti-codon position.
Source: Rfam
GGACCCGUAGCUCAGCCAGGAUGGAGCGCCGGCCUCCUAACUUUCGGAAGAAAGCCGGUGGUCGCGGGUUCGAAUCCCGCCGGGUCCG